GAUCGGUUAGCUCAGUUGGUUAGAGUGUGGCCCUAAUGGGGCUAGAUCUGAACCCGUUCAUACGCUAAGGUCAAGGGUUUGACCCCCUUACGGAUCA
Molecule: non-coding RNA, 97 nt
Organism: Tulasnella sp. JGI-2019a
Lineage: Eukaryota; Fungi; Basidiomycota; Agaricomycetes; Cantharellales; Tulasnellaceae
Source: the annotation of a GenBank genome assembly